Molecule: ribosomal RNA, 260 nt
Filed under: uncultured bacterium
Lineage: Bacteria
Description: partial 16S ribosomal RNA
Rfam family: Bacterial small subunit ribosomal RNA
Source: RNAcentral
UGGCGGACGGGUGAGUAACGCGUGGGUAACCUGCCUCACACAGGGGGAUAAACAGUUGGAAAACGACCGCUAAUACCGCAUAACCCGCUGGUACCGCAUGGUACUGACGGAAAAGAUUUAUCGGUGUGAGAUGGACCCGCGUCUGAUUAGCCAGUUGGCAGGGUAACGGCCUACCAAAGCGACGAUCAGUAGCCGGCCUGAGAGGGUGAACGGCCACAUUGGGACUGAGACACGGCCCAAACUCCUACGGAAGGCAGCAG